RNAcentral lists this small nucleolar RNA (349 nucleotides) under Naumovozyma dairenensis CBS 421. RNAcentral describes it as "Fungal small nucleolar RNA U3". It matches the Rfam family "Fungal small nucleolar RNA U3". From Rfam's summary of the family: Small nucleolar RNAs (snoRNAs) are involved in the processing and modification of rRNA in the nucleolus. There are two main classes of snoRNAs: the box C/D class, and the box H/ACA class. U3 snoRNA is a member of the box C/D class. The record is from Rfam by way of RNAcentral. Lineage: Eukaryota; Fungi; Ascomycota; Saccharomycetes; Saccharomycetales; Saccharomycetaceae.
UAACACCUUCUACAGUAGGAUCAUUUCUAUAGGAAUCGUCACUCUUUGACUCUUCAAAAGAGCCACUGAAUCCAACUUGGUUGAUGAGUGACAAAACCUUUGUACCCAAGAGUGAGAAUUUAAAAUUACAUUUUUUGAAUAGCUUGGUCCGUAAUCCUUAGCGGUUCGGCCAUCUAAUUUAUUUCUUAAUUGAAAUUUUUGUUUUUGCCGUUUGCAUUGAAUGAACUUUUCCAAUUGUGGUUUAGUAAUUUCUAUCUUUUAAAUGGCGCGAUGAUCUUGACCCUUUCUAUGUACUCUUUAAUCAGAGGGAUGGAUAUUUUGGGUGGGUACAAAUGGCAGUCUGACAAGU